Molecule: ribosomal RNA, 253 nt
Filed under: uncultured bacterium
Lineage: Bacteria
Description: partial 16S ribosomal RNA
Rfam family: Bacterial small subunit ribosomal RNA
Source: RNAcentral
UACGAACUGUGCAAACGUUAUUCGGAUUCACUGGGCUUAAAGGGUGCGUAGGCGGCCAUGUAAGUAGGGUGUGAAAUCCCCCGGCUUAACCGGGGAACUGCGCCCUAAACUGUGUGGCUUGAGUGAGAUAGGGGUGUGUGGAACUUCCGGUGGAGCGGUGAAAUGUGUUGAUAUCGGAAGGAACGCCGGUGGCGAAAGCGGCUCACUGGACCAUAACUGACGCUGAUGCACGAAAGCUAGGGGAGCAAACAGG